GAUGAACGCUGGCGGCGUGCCUAAUACAUGCAAGUCGAGCGAACAGACGAGGAGCUUGCUCCUCUGACGUUAGCGGCGGACGGGUGAGUAACACGUGGAUAACCUACCUAUAAGACUGGGAUAACUUCGGGAAACCGGAGCUAAUACCGGAUAAUAUAUUGAACCGCAUGGUUCAAUAGUGAAAGACGGUUUUGCUGUCACUUAUAGAUGGAUCCGCGCUGCAUUAGCUAGUUGGUAAGGUAACGGCUUACCAAGGCAACGAUGCGUAGCCGACCUGAGGGGGGGAUCGGCAACACUGAAACGGGGACACGGUCCAGACUCCUACGGAAGGCAGAGGGAGGGAAUCUUCCGCAAUGGGCGAAAGCCUGACGAGGCAACGCCGCGUGGGUGAUGAAGGUCUUCGGAUCGUAAAACUCUGUUAUGAGGAAAGAACAAAUGUGUAAGUAACUAUGCACGUCUUAACGGUACCAAAUCAGAAGACCACGGCUAACUACGU
This 496-nucleotide ribosomal RNA is filed under the name uncultured bacterium. Its description in RNAcentral is "partial 16S ribosomal RNA". It matches the Rfam family "Bacterial small subunit ribosomal RNA", at positions 28 to 506 of the family's 1533-position model. The record is from RNAcentral.